GACGAACGCUGGCGGCGUGCUUAACACAUGCAAGUCGAACGGAAAGGCCCUGCUUUUGUGGGGUGCUCGAGUGGCGAACGGGUGAGUAACACGUGAGUAACCUGCCCUUGACUUUGGGAUAACUUCAGGAAACUGGGGCUAAUACCGGAUAGGAGCUCCUGCUGCAUGGUGGGGGUUGGAAAGUUUCGGCGGUUGGGGAUGGACUCGCGGCUUAUCAGCUUGUUGGUGGGGUAGUGGCUUACCAAGGCUUUGACGGGUAGCCGGCCUGAGCGGGUGACCGGCCACAUUGGGACUGAGAGACGGCCCAGACUCCUACGGGAGGCAGCAGUGGGGAAUAUUGCACAAUGGGCGGAAGCCUGAUGCAGCAACGCCGCGUGCGGGAUGACGGCCUUCGGGUUGUAAACCGCUUUCGCCUGCGACGAAGCGUGAGUGACGGUAAUGGGUAAAGAAGCACCGGCUAACUACGUG
Molecule: ribosomal RNA, 468 nt
Filed under: uncultured bacterium
Lineage: Bacteria
Description: partial 16S ribosomal RNA
Rfam family: Bacterial small subunit ribosomal RNA
Source: RNAcentral